Small nuclear RNA from Chlorocebus sabaeus (green monkey), 62 nucleotides. Its record names the gene U7. It matches the Rfam family "U7 small nuclear RNA". From Rfam's summary of the family: Animal histone pre-mRNAs are spliced by a different mechanism than nuclear pre-mRNAs and self-splicing introns. This processing involves the U7 snRNP, which contains only one RNA species: U7. The record is from Ensembl. NCBI's taxonomy places the organism in Eukaryota, Metazoa, Chordata, Mammalia, Primates, Cercopithecidae.
UAGUGUUACAGUGCUUUUAGAAUUUAUCUAGCAGGCUUUCUGCUUUUUGCUGGAAAGCCCAU